GACGAACGCUGGCGGCGUGCCUAAUACAUGCAAGUAGAACGCACAGUUUAUACCGUAGCUUGCUCCACCAUAGACUGUGAGUUGCGAACGGGUGAGUAACGCGUAGGUAACCUGCCUGGUAGCGGGGGAUAACUAUUGGAAACGAUAGCUAAUACCGCAUAAUAUUAAUUAUUGCAUGAUAAUUAAUUGAAAGGUGCAAUUGCACCACUACCAGAUGGACCUGCGUUGUAUUAGCUAGUAGGUGAGGUAACGGCUCACCUAGGCGACGAUACAUAGCCGACCCUGAGGGGUGAUCGGGCAACCUGGGGAUGGGACCAGGGCCCGACUCCUACCGGAGGCAGCAGUAGGGAAUCUUCGGCAAUUGACGAAAGUCUGACCCAGCAACGCCGCGGGAGUGAAGAAGGUUUUCGGAUCGUAAAGCUCUGUUGUAAGAGAAGAACGGGUGUGAGAGUGGAAAGUUCACACUGUGACGGUAUCUUACCAGAAAGGGACGGCUAACUACGUG
RNAcentral lists this ribosomal RNA (505 nucleotides) under uncultured bacterium. RNAcentral describes it as "partial 16S ribosomal RNA". It matches the Rfam family "Bacterial small subunit ribosomal RNA", at positions 28 to 507 of the family's 1533-position model. The record is from RNAcentral.